AGCGAACGCUGGCGGCAGGCCUAAUACAUGCAAGUCGAGCGCCCGUAGCAAUACGGGAGCGGCAGACGGGUGAGUAACACGUGGGAACGUACCCUUCGGUUCGGAAUAACCCAGGGAAACUUGGGUUAAUACCGGAUACGCCUUACGGGGAAAGAUUUAUUGCCGAAGGAUCGGCCCGCGUCCGAUUAGCUAGUUGGUGGGGUAAUGGCCCACCAAGGCGACGAUCGGUAGCUGGUCUGAGAGGAUGANCAGCCACACUGGGACUGAGACACGGCCCAGACUCCUACGGGAGGCAGCAGUAGGGAAUAUUGGGACAAUGGGCGCAAGCCUGAUCCAGCCAUGCCGCGUGGGUGGUGAAGGCCCUAGGGUUGUAAAGCCCUUUGGCGGGGAAGAUAAUGACGGUACCCGCAGAAGAAGCCCCGGCUAACUUCGUGCCAGCAGCCGCAGU
RNAcentral lists this ribosomal RNA (448 nucleotides) under uncultured bacterium. RNAcentral describes it as "bacterial SSU rRNA". It matches the Rfam family "Bacterial small subunit ribosomal RNA", at positions 29 to 521 of the family's 1533-position model. The record is from RNAcentral.